GAAAGUUGAAAAGAACUUUGAAGAGAGAGUUCAAUAGUACGUGAGACCGCUUAGAGGUAAACGGAUGGGACCGCAAGGCUCCCCUCGGAAUUCAACCUUCCGUUCGUCGUUCGGCGGCGCGUCGUGAUCCUUCGGACGCGCGUGACUGUCCGAUUCGGCGUCGGGGGGCGCACUUUCCUUGGGACUAUCGUCAGGACCGGUUCGUGCGGUGGCCAGAAGCCGCCGGGGGCAAGGUAGCCGUCUUCGGACGGUGCUUAGGCCCUCGCGGUGGGCUGCACCCGCGGACCGAGGAACACCCGCCGUGGCACGGGCCCCCCUCGCUCAGCGUCGUCUCGACUUGCGUGGACUGUUUGCAGUGCUCGCAGACCGCCGGCGCUGCCAGUGGAGAGGAUCUCCGGUGUCGACACCCAGGGUCUCUGGCUAAUCGGUCGGCACCCCAUCCGACCCGUCUUGAAACACGUACCAAGGAGUCUAACAUGUGCGCGAGUCACUGGGCGGCAAACCCAAGGGCGCAAUGAAAGUAAAGUUCGGCCUCCGGUCGAGCCAGGUAGGAUCCUCGUCCGUUGGGACGGGGCGCACUACCAGCCCGUCUCGAUCUCUCGCAGGCGAGGCGGAGCAGGAGCGUACACGUUGGGACCCCAAAGA
This 645-nucleotide ribosomal RNA is filed under the name Amphisamytha wocanensis. RNAcentral describes it as "partial 28S ribosomal RNA". It matches the Rfam family "Eukaryotic large subunit ribosomal RNA", at positions 359 to 823 of the family's 3401-position model. The record is from RNAcentral. Lineage: Eukaryota; Metazoa; Annelida; Polychaeta; Terebellida; Ampharetidae.